UACGAACCGUGCGAACGUUGUUCGGAAUCACUGGGCUUAAAGGGCGCGUAGGCGGGCUGCCAAGUCAGGGGUGAAAUCGUUCGGCCCAACCGGACAAGGGCCCCUGAUACUGGCGGUCUCGAGGGCGGUAGGGGUCGAUGGAACUUCCGGUGGAGCGGUGAAAUGCGUUGAUAUUGGAAGGAACGCCGGAGGCGAAAGCGACGCACUGGAUCUCUUCUGACGCUGAGGCGCGAAAGCCAGGGGAGCAAACGGG
RNAcentral lists this ribosomal RNA (253 nucleotides) under uncultured bacterium. Its description in RNAcentral is "partial 16S ribosomal RNA". It matches the Rfam family "Bacterial small subunit ribosomal RNA", at positions 524 to 776 of the family's 1533-position model. The record is from RNAcentral.